This 306-nucleotide unclassified non-coding RNA is filed under the name Hevea brasiliensis (rubber tree). Lineage: Eukaryota; Viridiplantae; Streptophyta; Magnoliopsida; Malpighiales; Euphorbiaceae. The record is from RNAcentral.
GGGAUGACGAUGAAUAAUGGUGCCGACAGUGCUUUGGAUGUUCAACAUGCUACUGCCUUGGGGGGACAGCAGCUACAUGAGAACAUUUCAAGGUUCAGACACCUUGUGGAUGGUACGCCAAAUUCAACAUCUCAAACCAGUUCAUUUCCAUCUGGGGAUAACCAAAUGCUUAGUUUAUUGGGAGAAGCAAGAGAUGGUCCAACUGUAAAAGCUCCUCAGCAACCUGCCCUUCAAUGUAGAAGUUCUCAGGAAAUGGUCACAUUUGCUUGUACUGACCCUCAUACUCAAUCUAGCAGCAGCAAUGUG